This 329-nucleotide ribosomal RNA is filed under the name Micrococcus sp. NASA2-26. Its description in RNAcentral is "bacterial SSU rRNA". It matches the Rfam family "Bacterial small subunit ribosomal RNA", at positions 1122 to 1447 of the family's 1533-position model. Lineage: Bacteria; Bacillati; Actinomycetota; Actinomycetes; Micrococcales; Micrococcaceae. The record is from RNAcentral.
CACGUUGUGGUGGGGACUCAUUGGGAGACUGCCGGGGUCAACUCGGAGGAAGGUGAGGACGACGUCAAAUCAUCAUGCCCCUUAAUGUCUUGGGCUUCACGCUGCUACAAUGGCCGGUACAAUGGGUUGCGAUACUGUGAGGUGGAGCUAAUCCCAAAAAGCCGGUCUCAGUUCGGAUUGGGGUCUGCAACUCGACCCCAUGAAGUCGGAGUCGCUAGUAAUCGCAGAUCAGCAACGCUGCGGUGAAUACGUUCCCGGGCCUUGUACACACCGCCCGUCAAGUCACGAAAGUUGGUAACACCCGAAGCCGGUGGCCUAACCCUUGUGGG